AACGAACGCUGGCGGCAGGCCUAACACAUGCAAGUCGAACGCCCUCUUCGGAGGGAGUGGCAGACGGGUGAGUAACGCGUGGGAAUCUACCCAGUACUUCGGAAUAACACAGAGAAAUUUGUGCUAAUACCGGAUACGCCCUUCGGGGGAAAGAUUUAUCGGUAUUGGAUGAGCCCGCGUUUGAUUAGCUAGUUGGUGAGGUAAUGGCUCACCAAGGCGACGAUCAAUAGCUGGUCUGAGAGGAUGAUCAGCCACACUGGGACUGAGACACGGCCCAGACUCCUACGGGAGGCAGCAGUGGGGAAUAUUGGACAAUGGGCGCAAGCCUGAUCCAGCCAUGCCGCGUGUGUGAUGACGGCCUUAGGGUUGUAAAGCACUUUCAACGGUGAAGAUAAUGACGGUAACCGUAGAAGAAGCCCCGGCUAACUUCG
This 431-nucleotide ribosomal RNA is filed under the name uncultured Phyllobacteriaceae bacterium. RNAcentral's name for it is "bacterial SSU rRNA". It matches the Rfam family "Bacterial small subunit ribosomal RNA", at positions 29 to 505 of the family's 1533-position model. The record is from RNAcentral. Lineage: Bacteria; Pseudomonadati; Pseudomonadota; Alphaproteobacteria; Hyphomicrobiales; Phyllobacteriaceae.